AGAAUCAACGCUGGCGGCGUGCCUAACACAUGCAAGUCGAACGAGAAAGUGGAGCAAUCCAUGAGUAAAGUGGCGCACGGGUGAGUAACACGUGACUAACCUACCUUUUAGUGGGGGAUAACCUAGGGAAACCUGGGCUAAUACCGCAUAACACUUACGAGUCAAAGCAACAAUGCGCUUGGAGAGGAGUUCGCGGCAGAUUAGUUAGUUGGCGGGGUAAUGGCCCACCAAGACGAUGAUCUGUA
This 245-nucleotide ribosomal RNA is filed under the name uncultured bacterium. RNAcentral's name for it is "partial small subunit ribosomal RNA". It matches the Rfam family "Bacterial small subunit ribosomal RNA", at positions 26 to 285 of the family's 1533-position model. The record is from RNAcentral.